GUUUUUUAGCCUUUGGAUCAACUCUUUUCAUUAUUUCUAACCAUUGGAUUAAAUACUAUAACCCAGUGGGGACCACUCAACCCUAGGAGGACCACUCAACUUUAACCGACUAAUAUCAUCCUGACCCUAUAACUUUUCAUCCAAGGGUUAAAAACUUGAUAGCAAAAAAAACGUUUUACUAUUAAUAGUAUUCCAGCCUAAUUUUAUAUAUAUAUAU
RNAcentral lists this long non-coding RNA (217 nucleotides) under Ananas comosus (pineapple). RNAcentral describes it as "long non-coding RNA (ACOM_LNC033496)". Lineage: Eukaryota; Viridiplantae; Streptophyta; Magnoliopsida; Poales; Bromeliaceae. The record is from RNAcentral.